This is a non-coding RNA of Cinara cedri, 215 nucleotides long. The record is from the annotation of a GenBank genome assembly. Lineage: Eukaryota; Metazoa; Arthropoda; Insecta; Hemiptera; Aphididae.
GCGCGCGUAUACGUGCAUAGCGAUAAAACGCGCGAGGCGAACCGAUAUUAAACGAUAUUUAUACGCGCAAUCGGGAAUGGGCGAUACCGUAUCGUACAAGUAUUUACUCGAAUUUUUUUUCGUUCGCAGUCGUCCGGCUAAUGUCUAUAAAAGACCGCGGGGGUUUCGAAUAAAACCGGUGUUCGUGUUCUAUCGCUCGACCGUUAUUACGAUAC